Long non-coding RNA from Cyprinus carpio carpio, 5428 nucleotides. The record is from Ensembl. Lineage: Eukaryota; Metazoa; Chordata; Actinopteri; Cypriniformes; Cyprinidae.
CUAUCCCUUAAACUUUGAAGAGCCAUGUUGGCAUGUCUGUUAAAAAGGCCUAUAUUCUUGAUUCAACAGAAAAUAGAGACUUAAUUCUUUAACAUCUUUUUUUUCUUUUAUUACUGUUUACAUGUCCAGCAUGGAUUGUUAAACACACUCAGAAGAUGUGAACAAACACAAAUGUAUAAAAUCCUCAGUUUCUACAUAAGAAAAAAAUCAAAAACAAAUCGGAAUGUUAUUAACAAGGUAAAAAUCUAAAAACCACAAAAGAAAAAUAUUGAAAAGGUACUAUUUACAAUUUUAAAAUGACCAAAUUUAAGACAAUAUUAAGAAAAAAUAUUUAACUGAAAAUACAAUUAAACUAAAUUUAAUUUUACCAUCAUUAAUGAAGAUGAGUAGGUUUUUAAGAAAACACUGCAGCACAACUUUGUGCACAUUAACAGCAUUGCUUUAAAUGUUAGUGAUUUGCUACAAUAUUUUGUCUGUAAAUGCUUUGUCUAGUUUUAAACAGCAUGUUUUUUGUAAGGCUCAUUAAGAUUCCCUUCAAGACAGUGUGCAUGGCUAGAUGCAUUGUUGCACAACAGGCCGAUUUGAUACUGAAUCUGCCCUUGACACAGAACAAUGCAGACAAAAGCAAAUACACGGUCUCAUUCUACUCAGCUGAUUCCACAAAUGUGAAGACAACAUAUUGUCCCAACCUUUUUUGGCUACUUAUUUAGUAAAUCAAACAAUGAUUGCAGUCGAAUAACUGCAACUGGUUAACAAAUGGUGUGGACGGAUGUUCUUAGAGGCACCUCUGAUCAGAACUCAAGUUUAUAUCAGGAGAAUAUACAUACACACAGAAGUCACCCUCUGCAUAUGUAGCAUCACUGUACGGUCCACUUGGGUGGUCAGACAAAGUAGCAGUGGUCCUGAGCUGCGUUUAUUAGAACGGUGUGACCAAAACUGUCAAUGUCCAUGAUUCACACCGAAAGCCUUCUGAGCGGAGGCUGUUAGUAUGCAAUGCUAGUGUGAGGGCUGGUGGGAGGAAGCUUUCUAGCCCUGGCUGAGAGCCCAGUCUAUCUUCCUGUUGGCCAGAAGCAGUGUGCAGGACAAUAAUGAAGCAAGAGAGAGGGGCCAUUGUUAUAAGAGCCAGUCCUAAACUUGGCCAAGAGUUGAUUUGAGAUGGCAGAGAAAAUGUUAGACUUAUAAAUCUACAGAAUCACAUACCAACAGAUAAACAAACUGUUUUGAUUAUUCAUCAGUCACUGUCUACCACAGUUUUGUUUAGUCACCCUUAUCAUCUCUGAAAAUCAAAGAAAUCUGUGUAGAAGCAAACAUACCAAGUAAUACUCUUAUUCAUACUAAACUAAGUCCCUUACCACCUUAUUGUGAUGGUACACUGAAUGUAUCCAAUAUAUAUAUAUAUUACACGGCUCUGUGGAAUACUUGAUUCUGAUUGGUCAGUUGCGACAUUUCGAGGCAUGUUAUCCCUCGAUAACAACCGGAAAAUGCUAAUAACACAGGCUCAUCCGGGUAACAGCAGUCAGUGCUGUACUCUUGCUUGAACUAUUUUUUCUUGGUGGAAGCUUUGCGUUUGUUUAGCUAUAAAGUAUUAAAACUUGAUUCAAAAUGGUUUACAAUUAUUUAAUUAUGUCAUCCUGGUAUCGCGGACUCGCUCUUGUUUCAUAAAAACGCAGAUGCUGCCAUUUUGCUAAGAUUAUAAGAGAACUAACAAACUGGUAAACUUUAAAACAUUUUUGUCUUAAAUCUUUUAUUGCCUUAAUAAUUUUUGUGGUGAAAUGUUGUGUAAUAAGUGGUUUGACUCCACCGUUUCCCCUAAAUGUCCGUCUAGUUUGAAUUUGCCGCUUGCUCACAACUGCUGUCUUCAUGGAAGCUUUGCGUUCAAAUAUUUUAACUCAAAUCAAUAUUUCACGUCUAAUUAUUUACUUAUGUGGCAAGUAGCCGUGUAAUAAGCGGGAUAAUGUACAUCCAGCCAGUUGACUGGAUUAUGGACUGGGCCAGUUCCCAGGGCCCUUAGACUGCCAUGGCCAUCAAAGCCUAAGACCAUGCCAAAUACUGCCUAAAGGACUGCCUAUGAUACUUAACAUAGCUCGAGCUGACUACUAGGGCACCAGGCCCCCUGGGUGCACACAAUUGGACAUGACCACUAGGUGCCUGGGCCCUCCCAUUGCAUACAGUGGGACAUAACCACUGGGGUAAUGACCUGCCCAGCAUAUACAGUGAGGCAUUACCAACAGGGCCCCAGUCUACAGUGGGAUAUAUUACCACUAUUUCAUUGGACCAUCCAGCACAUACUGUACAGUGGGACAUGAGCACUAGAGCCCCAGCCCCCUUGGUGCAGGAUCUACGGCCUUGACCCACCCAGCCCAUACAUUGCAAAAUGACUGCUAGGGCACCAGGUCCCAUAGUGCAUACAGUGGGAUGCAACCACUGGGGCCACAGCCUGCCCGGCACAUACACUGGGACAUGACCAGUUCUAGGCAUCUCCAGGCACAUGCAAUGAGACAUUAUCACUAGGGCCCUGGGCCGCUCAGUACAUUAGUGGGACAUGACCACUAGAGCACCCAGGUGCUUACAGUGGGACCACUGCAGCCCCUAGCCCCUUGACGAAUACAGACCAAGCUGACUACUAGAGUCCCAGUCCCCUCACUGCAUACAGAAUACAAUGACCACUAUGUCCACUCAGUGGCUAGGGCUACUGUUGUUUGUCACCUAAAAUUAUCCUAGCAAAACAUGUUCCCUAAUUUUUGUUGCAUAAUGCAGGAUAAGAGGUCCACUACUAGAGGUGGAACUAGGAGGGAUGGGGCUCCAAAGAUGCUUGCCCAGGGGCCUCAAGGAACCAUGAUCUGGCCCUGAAUGCAAUGCUGCAUGAUGCUGUACUGUAGAUGAUUUUAACUAUAAGGUACUUCAAAGAAUACCACUGAAUUUGGUUUUGUCCAAAAAAUGGUAUUACCAUGGUACUACAGUAUGUCCAAAAUACUAGGCAAAUACCAUGUAAAAGUUGCUGAUUAUGGAAAAAGGCCAUAAAGGUGUGUGAAAAUCAGACAAAGAAUGGGCUAUGGUGGGAACAAGAUAAGGCCUGGGUGAGCCCCUGAGAGUGAGUGUUUCAGAUAUCCUUCAAGCUUGUUUAUGUAUUCCUCAUUGAUCUGGGCGACUGGAGGAGAAGGUAGAGGGCAUUGGGGGAGGGACGGAAGAGCUUUUAUGUUUGAUUAACUCUCCUCCAAAUCUCCUCAGGAGCACUGUGAGGAGGGGCAGAUCGCCUGGCAAUGAUUUUCGGUGAGAUUCAUCAGUUACAGCAUUCCGAUCAUGACUGUCCUGUGUCUCCUCUACUCUUCCAAUAAUAUUUAUCAAAGUGCUUUCUGCUCUACCUUGUCUGACAGGACAAUAUUUAUAAUACCACUCACUUUCGUUCUCUCCUCUAUGUCUGCCUCUCCCACUGUGAAAGGAGAAAUUCUCUCACUGAUUGUGAAGAAUAAAUGAUUGAGUUUUUGUCAGAGGCACUUUAAAAAGUGGCGGCAGUUUGUUUCUUAAUGCUUUCCGUGUCUGAGUAUACUAGCUGAGUUUAUGUAGGUUAGACACUAGACUAAGCAAACACCACAGAAAGCAAACACAGACCUACCUGACAGCAGUAAUAUCUUACAAUAUUAGGAAACUUGCCUAAUUUGUCUACUUUGCCUAGUAGAUAACAUCAGCAUGAAUAAGUCGUGAAUGAAACAGGGAUCCUGUUUCCACUUCUGGUCAAGAAAUGCGCUCCAAAAAUAACUGGCAGUGGAUCCUGGCAAUGUGGGCCAUGGGACUGUGUGCCAGCAAGCUCUCAUAUAGGGAUGAUAUUGCUACAUACACUAUCUACCAAGCAUCUCAAGCUUGGGCCAAAUAUAUACUCUACGCAAGUAUGUUUACACAAAUGUGAAUGCUAGGCCAAUGCACUGCAAGUGGACUGUCUCUUCAGACAUACUUAAUGUGCAUUCAAAUUCAAACCUCAGUACUUAAGGUAAGGUGGAUUUAUCUUAAAACGUCAAGUAUCAGUGAAAGUUUUAUUCAGGUAGCUCGCUAGAAACAUGUUGACAGUUUAACUAACCUAAACUUGCUCAGCAAGAUUCUCUUUUGCUGCCUAACAGUAAUAGACUUGGAAAAAACACAAAAAAAAUCAACAUCUAUCCCUAGAAGAAAUUCAUUCCUGUUUGGAAAUGAAUUCACUUUUAUGUUUAUGCUAAUAUAUGCUAUAGCACUCCUUGUGGCAAUGCUGAGAAUGCAACAUAAAAUUGAGGUAACUAAAUAAACAUGUCCACAUACUUGCGUAUGAGUAUGUUUCAGCCCGAGAGGGAGCUUGCUGUGGGUUUAUCCCACUCCUGCUUGUUUAUUACAACCCCACCUAUAAAUUAUCCCCAUCACUGUAAUACAAUCCAGUUCAUACUCUUACCAACACACCAUAAGCCCUUUCACAAAGACUUAAGAUAUAAGGUUUCUGCAUCUAAACCCUUUUCAUUUGAACUCACAGUUGUCCCUGAUUCUUUCCCUCUUUUCUCAACCGACUUCGUUCAAUGCGAGUAGUAUUUCUUAGAAAGGGAGAGCUUUGGGUUGGGGUAGAAAGAGGUUAGCAAUGGCUUUCACCCCCUGCUGUUUUUAAAAUUAGACUAUUACCUAACAUUCCCUACAACAGUGGGCCCCUACUAAGGCUUUUAUUUAUAAUUGGGCCUGAGAAGCUUUCUCAAGUGUAUUUUACUGAGUUUUAAAUUGGUAUACACUAGUGGUAUUCAUUUUAUAGCUCUUUUGUUCAAUCAAAUGAAAAUAUGAAAAUGCUAUUAUAUAAAUAUACACUCAGCAAAUGCUAUUAUAUAAAUAUACACUCAGCAAAUGCCUUCAGCACCAGCAAAGUAAGAUCUUACUCAAUGCCUUAGAUUUUUUUCAAACCCCUUAAAUGAAAGCAGCCUAAGUGUUGUGUUCCUCAGACAAUAAAAUGUAUAAUUGCCACAGUGUCACGGGACUUUUGGGAGAUAAAAACACAACUUGCAAGAAAGAAAUCAGUAGGGCUCUACAAAUGUAGACAGAACCACAUAAAACAUGUUUGGCUGGCACGACCAAGGCACAGCUGAUAAAACAGGCGGGCAAUAAAAUCGGACUUUUUUGCUAUGAUCGCACUAGGUAAGCAAAUUUUAGAGAAAAGUCCCUAUUUUAUGACAUCAAAACAAAUAGCAGGUAAAAUUCAGUGAAAUGCAACUGGACAUAGUUAAUGAUUGAAUAACCAGGUCCAGUUGUUUGUGAAUUAACUGCAAAAAGGAGGUUCGAAAAGUCGGAGACAUGUAGUUGAAAAGGUUAAUGUAAUGGUUAUUUUUUUUUAUGCAAUAAAUGCUUUCUUAAAUUAAAAUAUUAUUAGCAUAAUAGUUUGAGCUGAAAAAUUAACAUGAAUUUCUUCACGCAAGCUGCAUGAUCAAAU